RNAcentral lists this ribosomal RNA (253 nucleotides) under uncultured bacterium. Its description in RNAcentral is "partial 16S ribosomal RNA". It matches the Rfam family "Bacterial small subunit ribosomal RNA", at positions 524 to 776 of the family's 1533-position model. The record is from RNAcentral.
UACGAAGGGGGCUAGCGUUGUUCGGAUUUACUGGGCGUAAAGCGCACGUAGGCGGAUCGUUAAGUCGGGGGUGAAAUCCUGGAGCUCAACUCCAGAACUGCCUUCGAUACUGGCGAUCUUGAGUCCGGAAGAGGUGAGUGGAACUCCUAGUGUAGAGGUGGAAUUCGUAGAUAUUAGGAAGAACACCAGUGGCGAAGGCAGCUCGCUGGGACGUGACUGACGCUGAGACGCGAAAGCGUGGGGAGCAAACAGG